This 254-nucleotide ribosomal RNA is filed under the name uncultured bacterium. RNAcentral describes it as "partial 16S ribosomal RNA". It matches the Rfam family "Bacterial small subunit ribosomal RNA", at positions 524 to 776 of the family's 1533-position model. The record is from RNAcentral.
UACAGAGGUCUCAAGCGUUGUUCGGAUUCAUUGGGCGUAAAGGGUGCGUAGGUGGCGCGUUAAGUCAGGUGUGAAAUUUCGGAGCUUAACUCCGAAACUGCAUUUGAUACUGGCGUGCUUGAGGACUGGAGAGGAGACUGGAAUUCAUGGUGUAGCAGUGAAAUGCGUAGAGAUCAUGAGGAAGACCAGUGGCGAAGGCGGGUCUCUGGACAGUUCCUGACACUGAGGCACGGAAGGCCAGGGGAGCAAACGGG